AAGCACUGCUGUCCACAGCUCUCACGAGGACGCUGAUGUUCAGCCGUACAAAUGCAUCAACACGCUGACUGAAAACAAGCAGGUAAGAUAACUUGUGUUUGUCUUUCAAAACAGGUUUCAAUUUGUUUUCAGAUGAGGAAUUUGCAUUUAAACGUGUGAUUUGGUUGUGACCUGUAAAACAUUAUCAGCCGAGAUUCGAUAAAAACAGCAAGACACAAGGAGCCGCAGCAGAAACUAGAAUGACGAGAAUCACAGAAACAACAAUUCAUGCAGACCUAUUCAUAAAUCUGUUUCUGGAGCUACAUAACAGUGUUAAUCACCAUUUUACUUCAAUGUUAUCUUGUUAUAAAAUAAAAAAACGUUUCAAGCUGGCCUAAACUGGUUUGCUUGUCAAUCAUCCUGGUUCUAAAUCAGACUGAUUGACAGGCAAACCAGCUUAGGCUUGUUUGAAAUGCAUACCAUUGCAUUCACUGCGUAGGCCACUUGUUAUAUAUAACACCACUGAUCCCGCCAUCCUGCACUGAAACCCUGGCAUAACAACAUAAUUCAAACCCGGGUCAAGUCUUUCAUGCUCAUUAAUAGCAAAUGAAUAUAUUCAGGAGUUGCUCUGAGGUUACACAAGUUUAAGGAAAGUCAAGACACAAAAAAACAUCCAACACACAUGUAAGCCUAAAGGUUUUUGAGUCUGUGACUCCUAACAUCUCAAAAUAAACAUUCAGGAUGUGGAUGUUGAAUAGUUAAGAAAGUAUGUAAUUUAUGCAAGUUCUCUUCCAACCAUGCUAUGAUAUAUAGCUAGGUUAACUUAAAACAUUAUCACUGUGUUUCAGACACAAUUUGGCCAGUUUGAACUUGGUUAAUUGCUUUAAUAUACAUAUUGAUUUUAAGCAUGUUAGUAUGUUUUACUGCGUGCAUCAUGUUUGUUUGAUCAGCACUGUUUCUCAUGUGCUCAUCGGCAGGGCAGAGAUGUUUUAGGACUGUAUCCUGGUCGGAUCGCAAGAAAGAUUUGUUUAUGUAUUUUCUGACAGAUUCACACUAGUUUUUGUUGUCAGUAAAGCCCUUCCACCCAAUGCCAGCAAUACACUGCAGUUCACUCUAUGGCCACCAGGGGUUACUUUAGGCCACAUGCAACACACAUUAGGGUUCAUAAAUAAAUCACCAGUGCUUUAGCAAUGCUGCAAGGAUGAUGUAGGCUAAAACCAUAGGCUGUAUAAAACCUAGAAACAACCUAUUUAGCACUUCCGGGUCCAUCAUGGUUUUUUCUAUGUGUUUAUGGUUAAAUGCAUGAAAAAAUGUCUGUGGCAAACACAGAUCGUUUUAUUCUACAACAUUUAAAAUAGCCAGUUGCUAUCAUAUGGCUAAAUGGGACAUCAAAGGCUGUUGAGGACAUUAAAAAUCAGCACAUCGAACUGAUAAACUCAUGCACUAGUCGUUUUCACAGCCUCAGUGUGUUUAUUCACUGUUCUAACAAACUUUCAGAGAAGAUGUUUUUCAAUAAAGACUGAAAGAAGUAUUUAAUCAUGCAAAUGUGGUGUGUUUGUUUAGCUUUUUACUUCUGGAGUUUGUAUUUAGGCUUCAAAAUUCAUAAAAGUUGUUCAUGAACAACAUGUAAGAAUCAUAAACAUUCAUUGGCUUAUUUUCUGCAAUCAUUUUAAAGAAAUGGAAGAAACGUUUUGGGUUUUUGUCGAAGGAACCAGUUGAUUCUAACAUAUCCCUUGCGAAAACCAUGGUUUUACUACAAAUAAAACCAAAAAACCAUGGUUUUGCUACACUAACCACAGUUUAACCAUGGUAUUU
Long non-coding RNA from Cyprinus carpio carpio, 1794 nucleotides. The record is from Ensembl. Lineage: Eukaryota; Metazoa; Chordata; Actinopteri; Cypriniformes; Cyprinidae.